Molecule: ribosomal RNA, 253 nt
Filed under: uncultured bacterium
Lineage: Bacteria
Description: partial 16S ribosomal RNA
Rfam family: Bacterial small subunit ribosomal RNA
Source: RNAcentral
UACAGAGGUCUCAAGCGUUGUUCGGAUUCAUUGGGCGUAAAGGGUGCGUAGGCGGCGCGGUAAGUCGGGUGUGAAAUCUCGGAGCUUAACUCCGAAACUGCAUUCGAUACUGCCGUGCUUGAGGACUGGAGAGGUGACUGGAAUUUACGGUGUAGCGGUGAAAUGCGUAGAUAUCGUAAGGAAGACCAGUGGCGAAGGCGGGUCUCUGGACAGUUCCUGACGCUGAGGCACGAAGGUCAGGGGAGCAAACGGG